UUCUAAGGGCGGUGAAGUCAGACCGGAAGGACUGGUGGAGCGCUUAGAAGUGAGAAUGCCGGUAUGAGUAGCGAAAGAAGGGUGAGAAUCCCUUCCACCGAAUAUCUAAGGUUUCCUGAGGAAGGCUCGUCCGCUCAGGGUUAGUCGGGACCUAAGCCGAGGCCGAUAGGCGUAGGCGAUGGACAACAGGUAGAGAUUCCUGUACCAGUGCUAAUUGUUUAACCGAUGGGGUGACACAGAAGGAUAGGGAAUCGCACGAAUGGAAAUGUGCGUCCAAGCAGUGAGUGUGAGAAGUAGGCAAAUCCGCUUCUCGCGAAGCAUGAGCUGUGAUGGGGAAGGAAAUUAAGUACGGAAGUUCCUGAUUUCACGCUGUCAAGAAAAGCCUCUAGGAAGAGUAGUACUGCCCGUACCGCAAACCGACACAGGUAGAUGAGGAGAGAAUCCUAAGGUGAGCGAGAGAACUCUCGUUAAGGAACUCGGCAAAAUGACCCCGUAACUUCGGGAGAAGGGGUGCUCUAUUAGGGUGCAAGCCCGAGAGAGCCGCAGUGAAUAGGCCCAGGCGACUGUUUAGCAAAAACACAGGUCUCUGCAAAACCGUAAGGUGACGUAUAGGGGCUGACGCCUGCCCGGUGCUGGAAGGUUAAGAGGAGUGCUUAGCUUCGGCGAAGGUACGAAUUGAAGCCCCAGUAAACGGCGGCCGUAACUAUAACGGUCCUAAGGUAGCGAAAUUCCUUGUCGGGUAAGUUCCGACCCGCACGAAAGGCGCAACGAUCUGGGCACUGUCUCAACGAGAGACUCGGUGAAAUUAUAGUACCUGUGAAGAUGCAGGUUACCCGCGACAGGACGGAAAGACCCCGUGGAGCUUUACUGCAACCUGAUAUGGAAUGUUUGUACCGCUUGUACAGGAUAGGUAGGAGCCGAAGAGACGUGUGCGCUAGCAUACGAGGAGGCAAUGGUGGGAUACUACCCUGGCUGUA
This 977-nucleotide ribosomal RNA is filed under the name Listeria monocytogenes. RNAcentral describes it as "partial 23S ribosomal RNA". It matches the Rfam family "Bacterial large subunit ribosomal RNA", at positions 1239 to 2213 of the family's 2925-position model. The record is from RNAcentral. Lineage: Bacteria; Bacillati; Bacillota; Bacilli; Caryophanales; Listeriaceae.